GCAGACCUAGGAAGGCAAGGCCAAUCAAGCCUGUGAGGAGACUGCACUUUGCAUCAGUGAAGCUCCACAUGGAUUCAGGUUGCUCUGUCCUGAUGGCCAAUGCACCUGCUUCCACAGAUCACAGCCAGUAAACAUCAUGGUCAUGGCCAAAGGUGGGUUCAUGUCAUUCUACAACUGUCCAUUCCCACAGAAUGUGAAUCAUCAAGAGUAAAGAUUAAAGUAAGCCGCAGACUCUAGGUGACAAUGAUGUGGGUUUCUGAACUGGAACAAAUGUGCCUCUCUUGUGGGUAGUGAUGGUGACAGAGGCAGAGGCUGGGCAGGGAUGGGAGCAUUUGGGAAAUCUCUGUUCUUCCCCUCAAUUUUGAGCUUAAAAAUGUUCUAAAAAGUUAUCAAGUAAAAAACAAGAGGAGGAAGAAGUGUUCUUUGUCACUCUGCACUGGGAGAGGCUGAGGGCAGGCAACCAGAGCUUGGGGCAAACAGACCCAGCACCUCCUUCCCAACCUGCCUCUCUCCAAGCUCAGCACAGCAUGGUCUUCAAGGGGCUUUGGGGUCU
Molecule: long non-coding RNA, 553 nt
Filed under: Marmota monax (woodchuck)
Lineage: Eukaryota; Metazoa; Chordata; Mammalia; Rodentia; Sciuridae
Source: RNAcentral